UCUCACCAGAGGCGACGGCAGAAUGAAAGUCAGACUGAAGGUCUUACUUAACAAGCCGAGAGGUGGUGCAUGGCCGCCGUCAGCUCGUGCUGUGAAGUGUCCUGUUAAGUCAGGCAACGAGCGAGACCUGUACCUACAAUUGCCAGCAACAUCUUUAGAUGGAUUGGGCACAUUGUAGGAACUGCCCUGGAAACAGGGAGGAAGGUGCGGGCAACGGUAGGUCUGUAUGCCCCGAAUCCUCUGGGCUACACGCGCGCAACAAUGAUAUGGACAAUGGGAUGCAACCCCGAAAGGGGAAGCUAAACCUCUAAACCAUAUCCCAGUCCAGAUUGUGGUUUGUAACUCAGCCACAUGACGUUGGAAUCCCUAGUAACCAGACGUUAGCAUCGUCCGGUGAAUAUGUCCCUGCUCCUUGCACACACCGCCCGUCAAGCCAACCGAGCAGGGUUUAGGUGAACCCUAGUUUUUUGAUUAGGUUGAAUCUAGGCUCAGUGAGGUGGGCUAAGUCGUAACAAGGUAGCCUCAGUCAGUCAA
This 534-nucleotide ribosomal RNA is filed under the name uncultured archaeon. RNAcentral describes it as "bacterial SSU rRNA". It matches the Rfam family "Archaeal small subunit ribosomal RNA", at positions 925 to 1458 of the family's 1478-position model. The record is from RNAcentral.